ACGAACGCUGGCGGCGUGCCUAAUACAUGCAAGUUGAGCGCUGAAGGUUGGUACUUGUACCAACUGGAUGAGCAGCGAACGGGUGAGUAACGCGUGGGGAAUCUGCCUUUGAGCGGGGGACAACAUUUGGAAACGAAUGCUAAUACCGCAUAAAAACUUUAAACACAAGUUUUAAGUUUGAAAGAUGCAAUUGCAUCACUCAAAGAUGAUCCCGCGUUGUAUUAGCUAGUUGGUGAGGUAAAGGCUCACCAAGGCGAUGAUACAUAGCCGACCUGGGAGGGGGAGCGGCCACAUUGGGACUGAGAAACGGCCCAAACUCCGACGGGAGGCAGCAGUAGGGAAUCUUCGGCAAUGGACGAAAGUCUGACCGAGCAACGCCGCGUGAGUGAAGAAGGUCUUCGGAUCGUAAAACUCUGUUGUAAGAGAAGAACACCAGGAAGAGUGGAAAGCUUCCUGGCUGACGGUAUCUUACCAGAAAGCCACGGCUAACUACGUGC
This 497-nucleotide ribosomal RNA is filed under the name uncultured Bacillota bacterium. Its description in RNAcentral is "bacterial SSU rRNA". It matches the Rfam family "Bacterial small subunit ribosomal RNA", at positions 29 to 508 of the family's 1533-position model. Lineage: Bacteria; Bacillati; Bacillota. The record is from RNAcentral.